AGGGCGUAUGGGGGAUGCCUAGGCUCUUGGAGGCGAAGAAAGACGUGGUAAGCUGCGAUAAGCCUCGGGGAUUUGCAAACAAGAUUCGAUCCGAGGAUUUCUGAAUGGGACAACCCGGCAGGCAGAAGGCCUGUCAUCCGGCGACGGAAGCCAACCCUCUGAACUGAAACAUCUUAGUAGGAGGAGGAAAAGAAAGAAACAUCGAUUUCCUAAGUAGCGGCGAGCGAACGGGAAACAGCCUAAACCGAUAUUGUUACGGCAAUGUCGGGGUUGUAGGACUGCAACAUUCAAAUAACCAUGAACUGGAAUGCUCUGGAAAGUGCAUCCACAGAGGGUGAAAGACCCGUACAGGCAAGUGCGUUAAGCGAUAGCAGUAUCCUGAGUAGGGCGGGACACGAGGAAUCCUGUCUGAAUCGGCCGGGACCACCCGGUAAGGCUAAAUACUCCCAAGAGACCGAUAGUGGACCAGUACCGUGAGGGAAAGGUGAAAAGUACCCCGAACAGGGGAGUGAAAUAGAACCUGAAACCAUACGCUUACAACCGGUCGGAGCGGCUUCGUGCCGUGACGGCGUGCCUAUUGAAUAAUGAGCCUACGAGUUACUAAUCACUGGCGAGGUUAAGUGCUGUUAAGCACGGAGCCGAAGCGAAAGCGAGUCUGAACAGGGCGGCAAGUCAGUGGUUGUAGACGCGAAACCUUGCGAUCUACCCUUGAGCAGGAUGAAGGUCGGGUAACACCGACUGGAGGUCCGAACGAAUAAGCGUUGAAAAGCUUCUCGAUGACUUGAGGGUAGGGGUGAAAGGCUAAUCAAGCUGGGAAAUAGCUCGUACUCCCCGAAAUGCCUUUAGGGGCAGCGUUGUAAUUGAGAGUCUACUGGAGGUAGAGCUACUGAUUGGAUGCGGGGGCUUCACCGCCUACCAAAUCCUGACAAACUCCGAAUGCCAGUAGUAUGAUUUACAGCAGUGAGCGACUGGGUGCUAAUGUCCAGUUACGAGAGUGGAACAACACAGACCAGCAACUAAGGUCCCGAAGAAUAUGCUAAGUUGAUCUAACGAUGUUUUGUUGCAGAGACAGCUAGGAUGUUAGCUUGGAAGCAGCUAUUCAUUCAAAGAGUGCGUAACAGCUCACUAGUCGAGCGACAGAGCGUGGAUAAUAAACGGGCAUCAAGCAUAUCACCGAAGUUCUGGACACGAGAGUGUGGUAGGGGAGCAUUCCAUUCGCGCAGAAGUCGGGCCGUGAGGUUCGGUGGAGCGUAUGGAAAAGCAAAUGUAGGCAUAAGUAACGAUAAUGCGGGAGAGUAACCCGCACACCGCAAGACCAAGGUUUCCUGAUCAACGCUAAUCGGAUCAGGGUUAGUCGGGUCCUAAGGGUAAGCCGAACGGUGAUCUCGAUGGACAAUCGGUUAAUAUUCCGAUACUGACAUGAGCCUCGAUGGAGAGACGAAGGAACGUAAGUGACGCCAUCUGACGGAAUAGGUGGUUAAAGGGCGUAGGUAUAGGGACAGAUUAAGAGUUAGUCCUUGCUGAGACCCGACAGUACGGAGCGGCUACGGCCAAUCCGAUAGUUCACCCAAGUAUACUUCCGAGAAAAUCUUCUAAGUUUAAGUUCAUGUCACCCGUACCGUAAACCGACACAGGUGGUCGAGGAGAGUAUCCUAAGGUGCUCGAGUGAAUCACGGUUAAGGAACUAGGCAAAUUAACCCCGUAACUUCGGGAAAAGGGGUCCCUAUGAAAGUAGGGCGCAGCGAAGAGGUCCAGGCGACUGUUUAUCAAAAACACAGGGCUCUGCAAAUUCGAAAGAAGACGUAUAGGGCCUGACACCUGCCCGGUGCUGGAAGGUUAAGAGGGGAUGUCAUCGCAAGAGAAGCAUUGAAUCGAAGCCCCAGUAAACGGCGGCCGUAACUAUAACGGUCCUAAGGUAGCGAAAUUCCUUGUCGGGUAAGUUCCGACCUGCACGAAUGGUGUAACGAUCUGGACACUGUCUCAACCGUGAGCUCGGUGAAAUUGUAGUCCCGGUGAAGAUGCCGGGUACCCGCAACGGGACGAAAAGACCCCGUGAACCUUUACUAUAGCUUAACGCUGAGUCUGGGUACACAAUGUGUAGGAUAGGCCGGAGACUGUGAUACGGGUACGCCAGUAUUCGUGGAGUCGACGUUGAAAUACGGCCCUUUGUGUACUUGGAUUCUAACCCAGGUAUGGGGACACCGUUUGGUGGGUAGUUUGACUGGGGUGGUCGCCUCCAAAAGCGUAAC
RNAcentral lists this ribosomal RNA (2249 nucleotides) under human gut metagenome. RNAcentral's name for it is "bacterial LSU rRNA". It matches the Rfam family "Bacterial large subunit ribosomal RNA", at positions 14 to 2301 of the family's 2925-position model. The record is from RNAcentral.